RNAcentral lists this unclassified non-coding RNA (210 nucleotides) under Glomeromycetes sp. Its description in RNAcentral is "partial internal transcribed spacer 2". Lineage: Eukaryota; Fungi; Glomeromycota; Glomeromycetes. The record is from RNAcentral.
GUGAAUCAUCAAAUCUUUGAACGCAAAUUGCACUCUCCUCGGAGCGUAUGAGCGUUUGAGGGUCAGACUAUAAAAAAUCGACAUCGUUGCUGUUUCGCGGUGGCGGUCGUCGGUAACUGGGUCAUCUUAUAUCUUUUGGUUUUAAGCGACUUGAAAUUUUUUUUUUGGUUCUAUGAACGAUUCUAUGAUUUAUUUCUUUACACGUUUAUG